RNAcentral lists this ribosomal RNA (429 nucleotides) under bacterium. Its description in RNAcentral is "partial 16S ribosomal RNA". It matches the Rfam family "Bacterial small subunit ribosomal RNA", at positions 355 to 776 of the family's 1533-position model. The record is from RNAcentral.
UAGGGAAUCUUCCACAAUGGACGCAAGUCUGAUGGAGCAACGCCGCGUGAGUGAAGAAGGUUUUCGGAUCGUAAAGCUCUGUUGUUGGUGAAGAAGGAUAGAGGCAGUAACUGGUCUUUAUUUGACGGUAAUCAACCAGAAAGUCACGGCUAACUACGUGCCAGCAGCCGCGGUAAUACGUAGGUGGCAAGCGUUGUCCGGAUUUAUUGGGCGUAAAGCGAGCGCAGGCGGAGUGAUAAGUCUGAUGUGAAAGCCCACGGCUCAACCGUGGAACUGCAUCGGAAACUGUCAUUCUUGAGUGCAGAAGAGGAGAGUGGAAUUCCAUGUGUAGCGGUGGAAUGCGUAGAUAUAUGGAAGAACACCAGUGGCGAAGGCGGCUCUCUGGUCCGCAACUGACGCUGAGGCUCGAAAGCAUGGGUAGCGAACAGG